UAUCUGUAGUGGUGGCGAGCAAAGGCUGGAUAAACACUCGUCGCAAUGGGGGAGGGGUGGAAGUUUCGAGUUGUGAAAGACUGGUUGGUGGAUUUGUAGUCAAGGAAAAGAGUUACUUACACUGCCUGCUUUGGAAAUAGAGUGACCAGGCUAAGGGUAUUUGAAUCAGUGGGUAAUCCUGGACACGCAUGGCUACUUACCCUUUUCAAAACGACGACGUAAGCUGCGCAUGGUUGAAGUCAACGUGGAAAGCGAAGUUCGUUAUGGUGUGUUAGGAAGUGUGGUUUUGAAGAGGUCUAUCCUAAUCUUUUUGGGAGUCUCAACUCAUAUCUUAAACCGGGAUCUCAUCAAUCACCCCCUCCCCUAACUGAACCGAAUUCACCUGCGUGCUUUAAAAACCAUCCCAUCACUCCAGCUCGAAACCAAACUUAGCCAGUUGCUGGUUUGAAUCGUCCCUCGGGACGGCAUGUGUGUCGACGAGACGGGGGGGUUGGAAUGAGGAUUGGUGUCGUAGUCGUCAUUGUAAUCACUUGUCUGUUUCUGCAUCGUUCACUGCUUCCUGUCCACGCCUUGUUCACUGCAUCAUUCCAGAGAUUUUGGAUAACUUUGUUUCCCUUGGUAGGUCGCUGGUGAGAGUCUGCCUGUAAGGUAGGAAAAGUCGCAAUCUUUGCCAAAAUCAAAUUGCUUCUGUAUAGAAGUAGUCUGGUGUAGUCAACUAGUUUUUUCCUGCAUAGAGCCGCCUGGGGCUUUAAUUGCUGCUUGUUACGAAUCCUAGUCUUUCAAGAAGAAAGGGAAACAAGUGGAGGUGUUUGUUUUUUUCGAUUACCUUAAGCUUUUGUGGUUUUUUCGUUGGUGGAGUGUGGUUAUUACUAGCCGCAGCUUCGAAAAGCAAUUUGAUUGCGCAAGAAUAAAGAUGACGAGAGGAAACCAGCGGGAGAGGGACCGGGAGAGAGCUGCAGCGAGAGCCAAGCAGACUAAACAGCGAGACGACGGAUUGACACCUGAUCAGCGUCGCGAGCGCGACGCUAAAGCCCUGCAGGAAAAAACGGCAAGGAAGAUGGGAGAGCAAGGAGGGACGAGUUCUGGUCAAUCAUCAUCUUCAUCGUCGUCGUCACAAACCACUAAGAAAUGAUCAUCAACUUGAAAGAGUCAGCAAGGAAUGUCAACAACACACUUCGCUUGCGUUGCUUCUAAUUUUUCCCCGUGCGAUGCAUGUCAAGUAGAGUUAGUAUCCCCAUGCUUGCAGGUUUGACGACUUCGCGUAGUUUAGAUCCGGUAGAAUAUGAUCGAUUGACUUCUAGUGCCUGGUUAUUUCUCGGAGGAAAGGAUGACAGUUCUGCACUAAUUUUAAAAGUGUACAACCUUUUUAGUAACUUUUGCCUGCAUCGCAUUAGGGGUGUGAUACCCUUCCGCUGUGAUCGUUGUGUUCUGUGACUUUCUGCAAUAAAUGCUUUCACCGUCUCUCCACAGGGUGCCUUUAAAGCCUGCCGUGAUUCAUAGCAUAGGUUUUCUCUAUGUCAUGACAAUUAUCUCAUGAAUAACGCACUUCGUGGACAAUCUUCGAACCCGUUUCUCGUGCGCU
This 1582-nucleotide long non-coding RNA is filed under the name Physcomitrium patens. RNAcentral's name for it is "long non-coding RNA (PPAT_LNC007412)". Lineage: Eukaryota; Viridiplantae; Streptophyta; Bryopsida; Funariales; Funariaceae. The record is from RNAcentral.